Molecule: ribosomal RNA, 492 nt
Filed under: uncultured bacterium
Lineage: Bacteria
Description: partial 16S ribosomal RNA
Rfam family: Bacterial small subunit ribosomal RNA
Source: RNAcentral
AGUGAACGCUGGCGGUAGGCCUAACACAUGCAAGUCGAACGGCAGCACAGUAAGAGCUUGCUCUUACGGGUGGCGAGUGGCGGACGGGUGAGGAAUACAUCGGAAUCUACUUUUUCGUGGGGGAUAACGUAGGGAAACUUACGCUAAUACCGCAUACGACCUACGGGUGAAAGCAGGGGAUCUUCGGACCUUGCGCGAUUGAAUGAGCCGAUGUCGGAUUAGCUAGUUGGCGGGGUAAAGGCCCACCAAGGCGACGAUCCGUAGCUGGUCUGAGAGGAUGAUCAGCCACACUGGAACUGAGACACGGUCCACACUCCUACGGUGGGCAGCAGUGGGGAAUAUUGGACAAUGGGCGCAAGCCUGAUCCAGCCAUACCGCGUGGGUGAAGAAGGCCUUCGGGUUGUAAAGCCCUUUUGUUGGGAAAGAAAAGCAGCAGGUUAAUACCCCGCUGUUCUGACGGUACCCAAAGAAUAAGCACCGGCUAACUUCGUG